Molecule: ribosomal RNA, 474 nt
Filed under: uncultured bacterium
Lineage: Bacteria
Description: partial 16S ribosomal RNA
Rfam family: Bacterial small subunit ribosomal RNA
Source: RNAcentral
GACGAACGCUGGCGGCGUGCUUAACACAUGCAAGUCGAACGGUAAGGCCCUUCGGGGUACACGAGUGGCGAACGGGUGAGUAACACGUGGGUAAUCUGCCCUGCACAUCGGGAUAAGCCUGGGAAACUGGGUCUAAUACCGAAUAGGACCACAGGACACAUGUCCUGUGGUGGAAAGCUUUUGCGGUGUGGGAUGGGCCCGCGGCCUAUCAGCUUGUUGGUGGGGUGAUGGCCUACCAAGGCGACGACGGGUAGCCGGCCUGAGAGGGUGUCCGGCCACACUGGGACUGAGAUACGGCCCAGACUCCUACGGGAGGCAGCAGUGGGGAAUAUUGCACAAUGGGCGAAAGCCUGAUGCAGCGACGCCGCGUGGGGGAUGACGGCCUUCGGGUUGUAAACCUCUUUCACCAUCGACGAAGGUCCGGGUGUUCUCGGGGUGACGGUAGGUGGAGAAGAAGCACCGGCCAACUACGUG